Non-coding RNA from Oryza glumipatula, 275 nucleotides. The record is from Rfam. Lineage: Eukaryota; Viridiplantae; Streptophyta; Magnoliopsida; Poales; Poaceae.
GAUAUCAACUUAAAAAGUCAUCAACAACAAAGUUGAAUAACUCAUCAAGAUCUAAAACUUUUAUUUUGGCCAUUUCUUCAUACGACAAACUGAUAGUAACAUUGUUCACAAAAUUGACAUAUCUCUUAUCUGGUUUUAUAAACUAUAACACAUAUAUGUAAAAUUUGUGAAUAAUAUUACUAACAUUUCGUCGGAUGAAGAAAUAACAAAAGUAAAAGUUUUAGAUCUUGAUGAGUUAUUCAACUUUGCUGUUGAUGACUUUUUCAAUUGAAAUC